Molecule: long non-coding RNA, 343 nt
Filed under: Citrus sinensis (sweet orange)
Lineage: Eukaryota; Viridiplantae; Streptophyta; Magnoliopsida; Sapindales; Rutaceae
Description: long non-coding RNA (CSIN_LNC005226)
Source: RNAcentral
CAAUCAAACACACGUAUUCACUUGGAAAUUCGUGUUCAUCAGUUCAAGUAACAACAAAAUUUGGUCAAAUGAACCAUGCCAUAAAAUUAAAAUCUAACGUGUACCCAGAUCAGAGAUCACCACAUACAUGAAUCUAAACACCAACUCAUUCACACGCAAAAAGCUUUAAACUUCACAAUACCACAUUUAUUAAAGCCACUGCACUACACGUGUGCAAUAAAUAUUGAAACAUCAGAAGUCUCAAACCAUAUUUAAAAAAUAAUAAAUCCACAAAUAAAUAAAUUAGUCUAAUUAUAUGUUAAAAUAAUAUAAAGCUGUAACCAAAGUCAUGCUUAGCUCCACA